GUGAUUAGGCUAAUGGCCCUCCAUUAGUCUGUCAAUCCACUUGAGUAAUUUGUGUAAUGUUACAGGUGAAUCCCGACAGGUUCUGAUCUC
This is a small nucleolar RNA of Lycium ferocissimum, 90 nucleotides long. RefSeq annotates it as small nucleolar RNA snoR14. NCBI's taxonomy places the organism in Eukaryota, Viridiplantae, Streptophyta, Magnoliopsida, Solanales, Solanaceae. The transcript has a single exon. The record is from RefSeq and is a predicted model, not a curated record.